This 42-nucleotide ribosomal RNA is filed under the name Suillus grevillei. RNAcentral's name for it is "partial 18S ribosomal RNA". It matches the Rfam family "Eukaryotic small subunit ribosomal RNA", at positions 1791 to 1831 of the family's 1831-position model. The record is from RNAcentral. RNAcentral also lists the same sequence under 13 other names. Lineage: Eukaryota; Fungi; Basidiomycota; Agaricomycetes; Boletales; Suillaceae.
GUAACAAGGUUUCCGUAGGUGAACCUGCGGAAGGAUCAUUAU